ACACUUUUCUCCGGAGAAGACUGGCGCGUGGGAGCCCCCCUGCUGCACCUGGUUGACCCUGAUGGCUGGGACGGAGCCUGUCCCUCACUGGCGGGCACGAGCCACAGGCUCUUGCUACCUCGCUGUGCCGACCUCGCCACCCUGCCGCUUCCUGCUCUUGACCCCCUUCCCUGCCAGGACGUGGGGACACCAUGGACACAGAAACCGUAGAACAAGAUGCAAAGCUACCUCCUUCCCGUCUGCCGUCUCCUCCCCCCGUUGCAGAAUGCAUAGUUACAAUUCACGUUACAAAAUAAAGAAGCCAUGAAUGAAUGACUGCACGUGGGACCUUUUUGUUUUUUUCCUGAAAAAAGAAAAGUCCAACAACCUCUUCUUAAAUUCGGUAUGAAAAUUCACAUUUGCAUAAUGAUACAUUUCAAGGCCAUUAGAGAGGAACGAGCGUGAAAGCCCUGGGAAGAAGCUGCAGCCCCUCUCCUCCCUGUGUCUUCCUGAACGAAGCUGAAGGAAUCUGGCGGAGGGACUGUGUCCCUCUUGGAGGAGUUCUGAGGAAUUACGGAAACGGCCCUUGGCAUUCACUAUCUCUUUAGAAGACAGGGAGUGGGGACAAGCGGUGGAAUCGCUUAAAACAGACAUAAAACAAAGAGACACUGCAGAUUUCUGUGUUUGACCCUAACAGUUUUGAAGAAAUAAACUAGGAUUUCAGAGUUUUCUCUUUUCUUUCUCAGACACUUCAAUCUUAUUCUUUCCAAAGCCUUUCCUUGUGUGUAAUAAUACCCUGUUUGCAUACACGGCCACCCCAUGGGAUGUCCAUUUGGGAAAAGAACUGCCUUUUCAGGACACAGCCCGGCAGGGUAGAAAGGCAGGGGCUAGAAGACGCCUUCUGGACUUGUGCAGAUGUGUCACAGACAUCACCGCACUUCAAUUCUCCAGUGCUUAUAGAAAAACGAAAACCAGGACAGCCACGGCCACGCACGCGCACAAGCAGACACGGAGAAAACUAGGCGAUGCAGGCGGCUACGUUCAGCCGCACCCCCUGGACUAACCUGGUCUCUGUCAUCUGUGCACCGUCCCCUCCCCCAAGCCCAGACCCUCUUCCCUGCGACUCCGCACUGUGCAAUACUGAUGCAAAUGAAAACUCCACAGACGCCCCCGCGGACUCCUGAAGAAAAGCUGACUUCCCUAAAGACUAAGCUGACCGCCUGUUUUCUCCCAAUGCAGAGGUUCUUCCUAAAACAGAUGGUCUCUGAGCUCACAAAGGCACAUUCAGAAAUACUACACUUAAGUCACUGCCAACCAAUAAAGCAAAGCUUCCAGCAACUUGACAAGACAGAGGGGGUUGAUGGGAAAGAGAAGACACGAAGGAGGUCAGGAGCAGAAAAACAGGAACCUUUUCCUACUGGCCCGAGAGAGAGACUUUCCAAAUCACUGUAGUUGUCACCAGAGAAGGCAACGCAUGGUACCGGAGGGCGACGGCCUGGGGAAGGCUCUCAGUGUCCUACGGCAUCGAGACCAAAAAAAGCACACGUAGCUUCCUCAACUUCUGUUGGUUUGUUUCCUUUACAUGUAGCCCACUGCCUUUGGGGCCUGUCCAGAACCACUCCAAUUUCCAUACCGGGCAAGCGUCCUCCUGUCUGUGGAGCGACUGGACUACGAGCACACACACACGCCUUCCCCCUGCUUAGGACAUCUGGGUGUGUGUGCGAAGGCACUAAAGCGGCUUUAGAGAAAUUGCAGGCAGCAACCCCACCCACUCCCUUUACCUGUCAAGCUGGAGUUUCUUUCCCACUGGGAAGCUUGGAUGUUUAAAAGAAGCUGUGGUCACGCUUGGGAAUUCUAACCCCUGGCCCCAGGAGGGAAUACAAAAGUAGAAUUCAACAUCACCAAAAACUGAAAGGAAGUACUACUCCACCUCUUCGGCUGAGGGAUGGGGGUAACAGAGCAGCAGAUCUUCAAAACAGCAAUUAAAAUGAGCACAACAGGAGCUGGGAGCUAAAAAAGUAAAAUCACUUGUUCCUUCUUAGAUUCUUCUACUAUUUUCUCCUCCUCCCAUAACAAACGGAGGUAAGACAGACAUUCUUCAUGAAGAGAACAGUCCAUAGAUAUUUUUCCUCUAGUAAUGCCUACAUUUAAAAUUUGUUCCAAAAAUUAUUAACCUAUAUUUCCUAACUCUUUAUAUAGAUUCUCAGCAAUCCAACCGUACUAUUUUACAGAUUAGAGUUACUUUUUUUGUUGUUUAAGCUGUUGUUUCUUUCUUUCUUCCUUUCUUUUGAUGCUGGGGUUGGGGAGACAGGGAGAAAGAUUCCUCCAAAAAAAUAAAGUAAAAUAAAAUAAAUUCCUAGGGGAGAUUUUAGUUCAGUCUUAAAUGGAAAGGAACGAAGUGAUGGCAUACCCACUUAUACACCAAACACUCUCGCAUUAAAUUACACACGAUUUCAAAUGAAUCCGUGAUAGAGCUCUUAUAAAGCAUAAUCCUUCUCCCAUAUUUUUUAAGAUAGUGAAUUUACCUGUUGCUGCUAAAUUGAUAAUUUUUAAAAAAUAUUUCUUUCUACGUGUUUUAAAAUGUAUCAUCCCCAGUAUGACAAUAGUGUUUGGAGACUUUUCUUUUUACAUUUUUUUUUUAAGUAAAAAUUGUUUAAACUUUUUGAAGUUUCAGGAACUUGUAAAAGUUUAUUAACAGGAAAGAAACAGCCGUCUAUCUAGGAUAAGAUACAGUUAAAUAAACCAUCUUCCAAAAACUGGCUUCCUACCCUAGAAUUCCUGAGAAUGCUUGCAAAUUUUUAAAGCAGGAAAAUAAAUGUUAAAAACAAAAACAAAAAACACUGUUAAAUGCUCCCAGAGUUAGUCUUCAUCUAAAAUAUAUAUUUAUAUGU
RNAcentral lists this long non-coding RNA (2870 nucleotides) under Sus scrofa (pig). RNAcentral describes it as "lncRNA (ENSSSCG00000060843.1)". Lineage: Eukaryota; Metazoa; Chordata; Mammalia; Artiodactyla; Suidae. The record is from RNAcentral.